CUGGUCCAUAGUAAGAACUCAACAAAUGGUAGCUAUUACUAGUUAGUUGGAAAUAGAGUAUUCUCCCACCAAUUUCCAUUUUAUGGUCACUUUUAAUUUACCGAGACACACACAAAAGACAAAAGAGGGGAAGGCCAUGUGACAAUAGAGACAGAAAUUGGGGUUAUGUGACCACAAGCCAAGAAAGGCCUGGAGGCAUCAAAAGUUGGAAGUGUCCAGGAAGGAUUCGUAGACCCUUUGGAGGAAGUGUGACCCUGCCGCCUCCUUGAUUUCAGACUUUUAAAUUCCAGAACUGAGAAAGAAUUUUUUUUGUUGUUUUAAGACACUGAG
Molecule: long non-coding RNA, 330 nt
Filed under: Pan troglodytes (chimpanzee)
Lineage: Eukaryota; Metazoa; Chordata; Mammalia; Primates; Hominidae
Description: long non-coding RNA NONPTRT013703
Source: RNAcentral